RNAcentral lists this ribosomal RNA (238 nucleotides) under uncultured bacterium. RNAcentral's name for it is "partial 16S ribosomal RNA". It matches the Rfam family "Bacterial small subunit ribosomal RNA", at positions 15 to 240 of the family's 1533-position model. The record is from RNAcentral.
GAUCCUGGCUCAGGACGAACGCUGGCGGCGUGCCUAAUACAUGCAAGUCGAGCGAAGUUUUUCUGGUGCUUGCACUAGAAAAACUUAGCGGCGAACGGGUGAGUAACACGUAAAGAACCUGCCUCAUAGACUGGGACAACUAUUGGAAACGAUAGCUAAUACCGGAUAACAGCAUUAACUGCAUGGUUGGUGUUUGAAAGUUGGUUAUGCUAACACUAUGAGAUGGCUUUGCGGUGCA